AAUAAGAUUAUUUUUUAGUUUUUAGAUACAAUGUUUCGAAUCUUCGCCUUAUUUAAUUUCUUUUGCGAUUACUAUUUUUAUUGUUCCUAGAUGAUAAAACAUGAAUAAUACUUUAUGCGUGACUAUUUUUUAAAAUUUUUGUACAAUUUUUUUAAAUAAGACGAAUGAUCAAAUUUUGAACACAGAAAUCAAAAAAUAAAAUUAUU
This 206-nucleotide microRNA precursor is filed under the name Oryza brachyantha (malo sina). RNAcentral describes it as "MIR812 microRNA precursor family". It matches the Rfam family "MIR812 microRNA precursor family". Lineage: Eukaryota; Viridiplantae; Streptophyta; Magnoliopsida; Poales; Poaceae. The record is from Rfam by way of RNAcentral.